RNAcentral lists this ribosomal RNA (457 nucleotides) under Tegula argyrostoma. Its description in RNAcentral is "Chlorostoma argyrostomum partial 12S ribosomal RNA". The record is from RNAcentral. Lineage: Eukaryota; Metazoa; Mollusca; Gastropoda; Trochida; Tegulidae.
UUGAGAUGUAAAAUUUGAUUAUUAGAUGGUUUACUUGAGUAUUACGAGUUGUGAGAUAUUAGUUUACACAAAGAUCUUAAAACUCAAAAGACUUGGCGGUAUCUUAGGUCCUUCUAGGGGAACCUGUCCUGUAAUCGAUAGUCCACGAUUUAUCUUUCCUUUCCUUGAAAAUACUCAGCUUGUAUACCGUCGUCGUCAGAUUACCUUUAAGAGUUAAAUAAGUUAUCAGAAAGAAUGUUAUUUUUAGCAUUUACCUUAGCUUAAUUAGUUGGGGUUGAUGUAAAAGAUAAUUUUCUAAAUGUCAGAUCAAGGUGCAGCCUAUGGAAAGGUAGAGAUGGGUUACAAUAAUUAUUUAUUAUUUACGGAUUUCUUAUUGAAAUUAUAAGAACUAAAGGCGGACUUAGAAGUAAUUAAUAAGAGAAAUAGAAAGUUUCGGUGAAAAUGGCACUAAGAUGUG